Molecule: small nucleolar RNA, 81 nt
Filed under: Peromyscus maniculatus bairdii (prairie deer mouse)
Lineage: Eukaryota; Metazoa; Chordata; Mammalia; Rodentia; Cricetidae
Description: Small nucleolar RNA U2-19 (ENSPEMG00000003195.2)
Rfam family: Small nucleolar RNA U2-19 (bases 17-81)
About the family: U2-19 is a member of the C/D class of snoRNA which contain the C (UGAUGA) and D (CUGA) box motifs.
Source: RNAcentral
GUUAAUAUUUGGCUUUUAGCCAAAUCUGAGCAUCAGAAGACAUUUUGGUCUGCUUGGUGCAUGAUCUCUAUAGUUCUGAGA